GACGUAGGGGGCGAGCGUUGUCCGGAUUUAUUGGGUUAAAGGGUGCGUAGGCGGCUAAUUAAGUCAGGGGUGAAAUUUUCCGGCUCAACCGGAAGCUUGCCUUUGAUACUGAUAAGCUUGAAUCCACUAGAAGUAGGCGGAAUGAGACAAGUAGCGGUGAAAUGCAUACGAUAAUGAUCUCAGAACCCCAAUUGCGAAGGCAGCUACUAUGGUGUCAUUGACGCUGGAGGCACGAAAGCGUGGGGAUCAAACAGG
This 255-nucleotide ribosomal RNA is filed under the name uncultured bacterium. RNAcentral's name for it is "partial 16S ribosomal RNA". It matches the Rfam family "Bacterial small subunit ribosomal RNA", at positions 524 to 776 of the family's 1533-position model. The record is from RNAcentral.